Non-coding RNA from Struthio camelus australis, 229 nucleotides. NCBI's taxonomy places the organism in Eukaryota, Metazoa, Chordata, Aves, Struthioniformes, Struthionidae. The record is from RefSeq and is a predicted model, not a curated record.
CUCCUUUGCUUGGUGAAAUACUUCAAAAGAUUAUCUUCAUAUUGGGGUUGAAACUUUUGCUAAAUAUCUGCUAACAAGAAGAAAAAGGUCUCUGGAUGGCAGACUCUGAAAAGAAAUGCAGUUUUAAGAGAUACCAAAGAUGCUGACUAGAAAGAUUAAGCUUUGGGACAUUAAUGCCCAUAUAACCUGUCGUCUGUGCAAUGGAUACCUGAUUGAUGCCACCACUGUA